This 197-nucleotide ribosomal RNA is filed under the name uncultured bacterium. Its description in RNAcentral is "partial 16S ribosomal RNA". It matches the Rfam family "Bacterial small subunit ribosomal RNA", at positions 328 to 539 of the family's 1533-position model. The record is from RNAcentral.
ACGCUCGACACCUACGGGAGGCAGCAGUGGGGAAUAUUGCACAAUGGGGGGAACCCUGAUGCAGCGACGCCGCGUGAGUGAAGAAGUACUUCGGUAUGUAAAGCUCUAUCAGCAGGGAAGAAAAUGACGGUACCUGACUAAGAAGCCCCGGCUAACUACGUGCCACAGCCGCGGUAAUCUGAGCGGGCUGGCAAGGC